GAUGAAUCUUGGGUUAACGGCUCUUCUGAGCUGGGUCAACAGCUUAAAACUGUCUGAGCGCGAUAUGACUGUCGACGAUUUACAAGAUGGGACAGUCUUACUGAAAGUUGUUUAUAUGCUGAAAAAGGAACCCAACUCCUGUGUCAGUAAUACUAUCAAGGAUCGAUUCCAGUUCAUUGCAGACUUUGUGGAAAGGGAUUGCAGAUUUAAUGCAGCCAAAGGCACUUCA
Molecule: long non-coding RNA, 229 nt
Organism: Trematomus bernacchii (emerald rockcod)
Lineage: Eukaryota; Metazoa; Chordata; Actinopteri; Perciformes; Nototheniidae
Exons: 4
Source: RefSeq, a predicted model, not a curated record